AGUGAACGCUGGCGGUAGGCCUAACACAUGCAAGUCGAACGGCAGCACAGUAAGAGCUUGCUCUUACGGGUGGCGAGUGGCGGACGGGUGAGGAAUACAUCGGAAUCUACUUUUUCGUGGGGGCUCACGUAGGGAAACUUACGCUAAUACCGCAUACGACCUACGGGUGAAAGCAGGGGAUCUUCGGACCUUGCGCGAUUGAAUGAGCCGAUGUCGGAUUAGCUAGUUGGCGGGGUAAAGGCCCACCAAGGCGACGAUCCGUAGCUGGUCUGAGAGGAUGAUCAGCCACACUGGAACUGAGACACGGUCCAGACUCCUACGGGAGGCAGCAGUGGGGAAUAUUGGACAAGGGGCGCAAGCCUGAUCCAGCCAUACCGCGGGGGUGAAGAAGGCCUGCGGGUUGUAAAGCCCUUUUGUUGGGAAAGAAAAGCAGCAGGUUAAUACCCCGCUGUUCUGACGGUACCCAAAGAAUAAGCACCGGCUAACUUCGU
This 491-nucleotide ribosomal RNA is filed under the name uncultured bacterium. RNAcentral's name for it is "partial 16S ribosomal RNA". It matches the Rfam family "Bacterial small subunit ribosomal RNA", at positions 29 to 506 of the family's 1533-position model. The record is from RNAcentral.